GCUGCUGUAGCUCAGCUGGUAGAGCAAUGCAUUCGUAAUGCAUGGGUCGGGGGUUCGAGUCCCUUCAGCAGCACCA
RNAcentral lists this transfer RNA (76 nucleotides) under Roseovarius sp. SCSIO 43702. Its description in RNAcentral is "tRNA-Thr". It matches the Rfam family "tRNA". From Rfam's summary of the family: Transfer RNA (tRNA) molecules are approximately 80 nucleotides in length. Their secondary structure includes four short double-helical elements and three loops (D, anti-codon, and T loops). The record is from RNAcentral. Lineage: Bacteria; Pseudomonadati; Pseudomonadota; Alphaproteobacteria; Rhodobacterales; Roseobacteraceae.